UACGGAGAGAGCUAGCGUUGUUCGGAAUUACUGGGCGUAAAGCGCACGUAGGCGGAUAUUUAAGUCAGGGGUGAAAUCCCAGAGCUCAACUCUGGAACUGCCUUUGAUACUGAGGAUCUUGAGUUCGGGAGAGGUGAGUGGAACUGCGAGUGUAGAGGUGAAAUUCGUAGAUAUUCGCAAGAACACCAGUGGCGAAGGCGGCUCACUGGCCCGGUACUGACGCUGAGGUGCGAAAGCGUGGGGAGCAAACAGG
RNAcentral lists this ribosomal RNA (253 nucleotides) under uncultured bacterium. RNAcentral's name for it is "partial 16S ribosomal RNA". It matches the Rfam family "Bacterial small subunit ribosomal RNA", at positions 524 to 776 of the family's 1533-position model. The record is from RNAcentral.